UACAUAGGGGGCGAGCGUUAUCCGGAAUUAUUGGGCGUAAAGGGUACGUAGGCGGGCCUGCAAGUCUGAUUUGAAAGCACACAGCUUAACCGUGUGAGGUAAUUAGAAACUACGAGUCUAGAGAGUGGUAGAGGUAAAUGGAAUUCCAAGUGGAGCGGUGAAAUGCGUAGAGAUUUGGAGGAACACCAGUGGCGAAGGCGGUUUACUGGGCCACAUCUGACGCUGAUGUACGAAAGCGUGGGGAGCAAACAGGAUUAGAUACCCCCGUAGUCCCUGA
This 277-nucleotide ribosomal RNA is filed under the name uncultured prokaryote. Its description in RNAcentral is "partial 16S ribosomal RNA". It matches the Rfam family "Bacterial small subunit ribosomal RNA", at positions 524 to 800 of the family's 1533-position model. The record is from RNAcentral.